Molecule: ribosomal RNA, 508 nt
Filed under: uncultured bacterium
Lineage: Bacteria
Description: partial 16S ribosomal RNA
Rfam family: Bacterial small subunit ribosomal RNA
Source: RNAcentral
GACGAACGCUGGCGGCGUGCCUAAUACAUGCAAGUCGAACGCUUCUUUCCUCCCGAGUGCUUGCACUCAAUUGGAAAGAGGAGUGGCGGGCGGGUGAGUAACACGUGGGUAACCUACCCAUCAGAGGGGGAUAACACUUGGAAACAGGUGCUAAUACCGCAUAACAGUUUAUGCCGCAUGGCAUAAGAGUGAAAGGCGCUUUCGGGUGUCGUUGAUGGAUGGACCCGCGGUGCAUUAGCUAGUUGGUGAGGUAACGGCUCACCAAGGCCACGAUGCAUAGCCGACCUGAGAGGGUGAUCGGCCACACUGGGACUGAGACACGGCCCAGACUCCUACGGGAGGCAGCAGUAGGGAAUCUUCGGCAAUGGACGAAAGUCUGACCGAGCAACGCCGCGUGAGUGAAGAAGGUUUUCGGAUCGUAAAACUCUGUUGUUAGAGAAGAACAAGGACGUUAGUAACUGAACGUCCCCUGACGGUAUCUAACCAGAAAGCCACGGCUAACUACGUG